Molecule: ribosomal RNA, 253 nt
Filed under: uncultured bacterium
Lineage: Bacteria
Description: partial 16S ribosomal RNA
Rfam family: Bacterial small subunit ribosomal RNA
Source: RNAcentral
UACGGAGGGUGCAAGCGUUAUCCGGAUUCACUGGGUUUAAAGGGUGCGUAGGAGGGCAGGUAAGUCAGUGGUGAAAUCUCCAAGCUUAACUUGGAAACUGCCGUUGAUACUAUCUGUCUUGAAUACCGUGGGGGUGAGCGGAAUAUGUCAUGUAGCGGUGAAAUGCUUAGAUGUGACAUAGAACACCAAUUGCGAAGGCAGCUCGCUACACGAAUAUUGACUCUGAGGCACGAAAGCGUGGGGAUCAAACAGG